This 465-nucleotide ribosomal RNA is filed under the name uncultured bacterium. RNAcentral's name for it is "partial 16S ribosomal RNA". It matches the Rfam family "Bacterial small subunit ribosomal RNA", at positions 28 to 507 of the family's 1533-position model. The record is from RNAcentral.
GACGAACGCUGGCGGCGUGCUUAACACAUGCAAGUCGAACGGAAAGGCCCUGCUUGCAGGGUACUCGCGUGGCGAACGGGUGAGUAACACAUGGGUGAUCUGCCCUGCACUUCGGGAUAAGCCUGGUAAACUGGGUCUAAUACCGGAUAGGAGCCAUUUUUAGUCUGAUGGUUGGAAAGUUUUUUCUGUGUAGGAUGAGCUCGCGGCGUAUCAGCUUGUUGGUGGGGUAAUGGCCUACCAAGGCGGCGACGGGUAGCCGGCCUGGGAGGGUGGACGGCCACACUGGCACCGAGAGACGGCCCAGACUCCGAAGGGAGGCAGCAGUGGGGAAGAUUGCACAAUGGGCGCAAGCCUGAUGCAGCGACGCCGCGUGGGGGAUGACGGCCUUCGGGUUGUAAACUCCUUUCGCAAGGGACGAAGCGUUUUGUGACGGUACCUAGAUAAGAAGCACCGGCUAACUACGUG